Molecule: long non-coding RNA, 424 nt
Filed under: Gossypium raimondii (Peruvian cotton)
Lineage: Eukaryota; Viridiplantae; Streptophyta; Magnoliopsida; Malvales; Malvaceae
Description: long non-coding RNA (GRAI_LNC008004)
Source: RNAcentral
UUCUAUGGCUUUUAUAGCCAUUUUACAAAGUUUUUUUUAUUUGUUGUCAUUUCUUUACAGGUCGGUGCCAGUGUAGUCGAUGGCCGGUGGUGGCAAAGCAUAGAUGGAUGCUAAAUAUGGCGGCAGCAGAGGAAGAAGACCCUAGGUGCGACGCACCUAGGGUUAGGUUUUUCUCUUUUUUUUUUUUGUUUUUUUGCUGAAGAUGGGUUUGGGCUUUUAGAUUUUGGGCUUAUGGUAGUUGGGUUUGGGUCUGUAAUUGGGUUUUGGGAAUGAUUUAGGUAUUGGGAGUUUGGGCUAGGGGUUUUGUUUUAAUUUGGCCGCAAAACUCAUGCACUCUUUAAUCGAAAAUGAAGCAGCAUCGACAUUACACUUGCUCCACGUUAUUUUUUUUUAAACAAAAUUGUUGUUUAUAUUAAAUCUAAGC